CUCAACUCUGCACCUGCUCUCAGCUCCCCCUGCCUGUCUGCUGCUUGGGUGGGGCUCUCUCUGACUCAUGCCUGCACAGCAAAGGGGUGCUUUCCUGGGAAGGAGCAGGUCAAUCUUUUUAUGAAGACAAGCUGUAAUCAAUCAGCUGGGUAUAAGAUGGGGUUUUCACCCUUUCCAAGCUGCAUGAGCUCCAGCCACCCCUAGGAGGAGACAACAUAUCACGCAUCUCAAGACCUGGAGGGAGAAUGGCAAGCAGCUGAUUCAUCUCCAUUGCCUGUGAAACACUGCUACUCCACGUGUCACUUCUCACUCAGGGGUCCCCUCCUCACUCCUCCCUACUCAAGGGUAACCUCCAUCCUGAAUUUUGUGCUUAUCAUUCCCUUUUUUUUUCUUUAUAGUGUCAACAUGUUUUGUUCCUAAUACUGCUUUGUUUUGCAUGUCUUGAACUUUAUAUAAAUGGUAUCCCACUGUA
Molecule: non-coding RNA, 472 nt
Organism: Homo sapiens (human)
Lineage: Eukaryota; Metazoa; Chordata; Mammalia; Primates; Hominidae
Source: RefSeq, a predicted model, not a curated record